UGCGUAUGGGGCAAGCGUUAUCCGGAUUUACUGGGUGUAAAGGGAGCGUAGGCGGCAGGGCAAGCCUGAUGUGAAAGCCCGGGGCUCAACCCCGGGACUGCAUUGGGAACUGCCCUGCUGGAGUGCCGGAGGGGCAGGCGGAAUUCCUAGUGUAGCGGUGAAAUGCGUAGAUAUUAGGAGGAACACCAGUGGCGAAGGCGGCCUGCUGGACGGUGACUGACGCUGAGGCUCGAAAGCGUGGGGAGCAAACAGG
This 253-nucleotide ribosomal RNA is filed under the name uncultured bacterium. RNAcentral's name for it is "partial 16S ribosomal RNA". It matches the Rfam family "Bacterial small subunit ribosomal RNA", at positions 524 to 776 of the family's 1533-position model. The record is from RNAcentral.